This 271-nucleotide ribosomal RNA is filed under the name uncultured bacterium. RNAcentral's name for it is "partial 16S ribosomal RNA". It matches the Rfam family "Bacterial small subunit ribosomal RNA", at positions 85 to 354 of the family's 1533-position model. The record is from RNAcentral.
CUGAUGGCGACCGGCGUACGGGUGAGUAACGCGUAUCCAACCUGCCCUUUACUAUGGGACAGCCCGUCGAAAGGCGGAUUAAUACCGUAUGUUGUCAUGUUGAUGCAUAUUUUCAUGACCAAAGGCUUCGGCCGGUAAAGGAUGGGGAUGCGUCUGAUUAGCUUGCCGGCGGGGUAACGGCCCACCGGGGCGACGAUCAGUAGGGGUUCUGAGAGGAAGGUCCCCCACAUUGGGACUGAGACACGGUCCAAACUCCUACGGAAGGCAGCAG